This is a long non-coding RNA of Triticum aestivum (bread wheat), 3113 nucleotides long. RefSeq lists it as uncharacterized. The transcript is spliced from 6 exons. Lineage: Eukaryota; Viridiplantae; Streptophyta; Magnoliopsida; Poales; Poaceae. The record is from RefSeq and is a predicted model, not a curated record.
AGGAAAAGAAACGUCGUCUCGUUUCCUUCCGUCCACAUCGAGUCACCUGCUCCACCCCUCCCCUCGACCCAAGCACGCCGCCGCCGCCUCUCCCCCUCCCCUCUCUGUGGCCUCGUCUCCUUCCCCUUUCUCUUCUCAAUCCGGAUCCAUGGAGGUAGGCAGCAGGGGCGCUAUCAACUACGACACUAGGGUUCCUAGCCGCCGCCACACGCCGGCCAGAGCCAUCUCCGCUCCAGCAGCCAUCGAUAGGGCGGGCGUCGGUGCGGCCCGUUGACAGGCCACGCGGCAGCAACACCGCGCACUGCAAGUCGGUCGCCCCCCGCCGCCCGCCAUCCCUGGCCCGCGCGCGCCCCGCCGCCGACCACGAUGAUACCGCCGACUUGUGCAGAGUAAGAGUUGCGCUAAGGAUCCGGCCCAAGAAUGCGGAUGAAUUACCUCAGGGCGCCGACUGAUCGAUACUUGUGUUGAGUUACAGCCCGAGUGUAAGAAGCUGAAGCUCAAGAAAAAUAACUGGGCUUCUGACUCCUACCAGUUUGAUGAGAUAUUUGGUGAAAAUUCUUCACAAAAGCGUAUAUAUGAGGUCGUCGCAAAGCCUCUGGUUGAGGCAAGUCAUGUAUUUCAAUAUCUUUUUUAACAUGCAUCAUAUAAUAUUAAUCAUGAGCAACAUAAUAUUCCAGUUGUUUAUAUUUGUUAAUUUUUAAGUACCUGCACUAACUUUGUAUAAUUUGGAGCACUGGCAGUAAGUUUUCAGGCUCCUUUUUUGUAAUAAAAAAGAUAUACAUAAAUCUCUUAGAUACCCUAUGAUAGUUAUUACUCCCUCUGAUACAAAAUAAGUGUCGUGGACAGCAGUGGCGGACCUAGAGAGUAUUUUGACUGGGGGCAAAGUAUUUGAAUGGGGGCAUACUCUUUCAAAAUGCAAAGAAUUUUAGCAUAUUUUUCAAAAAACACAAGCCAAUAUUACUGGAGUUUCAAAGUUUGAGUGGGGGCCUAGGCCCCCACUCACCUCAAUGUAGGUCCGCCCCUGGUGGACAGUGGCGUUCAUGCAAGAGCGUCCACGUCAUGCUCCGUUCCAAUUGACUGUUGGUGGCGCUCUGGUACUGCUCAAUGAGAUCCCUCAAGCUACAUCAUUGGAUAGUUGAACAUGUAUGUUAAGUAGAUAAUUCAGUUAACCAGUGUGCGUCUACUUAAUCAAGUUAUACUAUUUCACUAAUUCAUGCAAAGCAGGGUCUAAUUGUAUGCAUAUAUCAUGUUAAACCUAGGUAACUAAUUUCGUUUUGUGCAUUUUUUAUCCAUACCAUGCAUAUAUCAUGUGAAUGGUUGAACAAGUUUAGUUGAUAAGAUCUUGUCUGUUGGAGACUUGGAGCGAAUUGCACCAGGUUCACAGUAACAAGCGCUAGCUUCUACUCAAAAAUUAGGUGUUCAUGCAUGCAUGGCUGCUGAAUUAAUUAGUAUAAGCUAGCAGCUAACACACGUGUACAUGCAUGUUGUUAUCAACAAUUCAGCAUCGAUCUGUCUGAAUAAUUAGUUGGAAUAUAAUCUCGGAAUAAGAACACUGUGAGUUUAUAAAAUGCAUGGUCAGUUAACUUGAUCCACACAGAACAGCAAAUCCGAUGACAUGCAUGUUCGACAAGAAGACGAUCAACACCACUCUCCCUAAACAGUCUUAAGAUAUCACACCAAAGGGUAGAAGACCCAUGCUAGAAAAACAUACUACUGUACAUACAGUUUCAGUUCUGACUUAGGAAGGAACGAUCAGCAACAUACUGAUUAACUAGCUGCUGGUAGAUCCGGUUCUCCAAAGUAAUCAAAAGAAAGAAGUUGUAAUUUGAUGGACUAAUUAACAAUGUUAUCUUUUAUUUCUCGAAUCGUGUCUAUUCGCACAAUUACUAUGUACACGGCAACACAUGGUCUAUAGUGGUACAAACUGUUCCAGGUUAGCUUUCAAUCUGUUAUUCAAGUUACUGUAUGUACCCUGACUGAGGAAACAUUUUUUUCAGGAAAGAAGGAUGGUAUGGAAUCGACACAUGAUUCGGUUAUGUUUCGUUACAUCUAAGAUGUGUUGAAUGGGUUUCCUGGAACUAAUAGAUGGAUGGGUGCUAGGGCUGGGAUUGGGCUAGGAAUUUUUUCUAUGACAGUGAUUAUUCUAUGCAAAUGUAGCAAUUUUAUAAGUUACUCAGUAUGUUUGUUGAAACCAGAGUUUGUAGAAACUAGAAAGGAUGGUGCUAUGUUCCUGUCCAACUGUCUUUUUUUCUGAAUGGUUUGUUUAGAACUUGUUCCUAGCAGAUUUGAAAAUUCUGGAGAUGAGAUUGCAGCAGUACACCCUAUCCCCUGAUGGAGAAAAGGAGCCUAGCGAAGAAUAUUGGGCUUGAGCUGGAAUGUGAGGUGCUUUCACACCUUAGGGAUGUAGCACUCUCUGGUGCUCACACUCUCGGGUGGACAUACUCUUGGGAAGAGAUCGUCUGGAGAGCUUGGUAUUCGACUACGCUUUGCCAAAUGAUCCUCUGAAGUUUGAUAACUCCUACUUUAUGUAAGCUUAAUCGUCACGGUUGUUGAUUGCACAUUGGCUUAAGAUUAUAUAGAUGUAAUGUCAUCAGCGCAACAUUGUGAAGUUGUACAUCCCUGGACGUCAUCUUUUGUAUAUGCUGCAGUGAGCUUCUAAAAGGGUACUCCUGAAGUGGCUUACAGAACAGGUUCUCAUGGAGGAUCAACUUUCGGUCCCUUAGUUGAAUUAUACGCAAAGGUAAAGAAGAGUUUAAUUCAUCUUCAUUUGCUUGUUGGAGAUGUUGGCAGGACGCGUUCUUUAGAGAUUACGCUGAUUCGCACAAGAAGCUUUCGGAGCUCUACUUUACUGGCAUGGACAUGCAGAGACGAAGCCAAGAGGGCUGUGAGGAGAACUACCACUGUCUUUGCAGUUGCGGUUGCCGUCAUCACCUGCGCUUACAUAUGUUGAUCCAAGAGGACGCUCAAUGGUUAGAUUGCAAGUCUCCAUGUGCAGAUGACUCCAGUUCAGUUAUGGGUUCUGAAGAACAAAGUUAAAUCAUACAUUGAGAUGUUGUGUAGUCAUAUUUGUAACCAAUCUGCUGAUAUAGUGAUGAGGAUGCAGAUGUACUAUC